RNAcentral lists this ribosomal RNA (994 nucleotides) under Ogmocotyle ailuri. RNAcentral's name for it is "large subunit ribosomal RNA". The stretch from base 632 to 994 matches the Rfam family "Bacterial large subunit ribosomal RNA", at positions 2046 to 2709 of the family's 2925-position model. The record is from RNAcentral. Lineage: Eukaryota; Metazoa; Platyhelminthes; Trematoda; Plagiorchiida; Notocotylidae.
UUAGUUUUGAGACUAUAUGUUGGUGUGGUUAGUAACUAGGUAAGGUACCUUUUGCAUCAUGAUUUGUUGAUUUUUUGACAGGGAUUCUGUAGUUCCGAAGAAUUGCGAUCUUUUUUGUGUUUGUUUAGAAUGUAAAAGUGAGCGGGAAGCUCUUUUUAAAACUUAAUAAAGAUGUGAGAAAUAAGACGUGCAAUUUAAUAUCUGAUUAAGAAAGGGGUCAUUUUGUAUUAGUUUCAUUGUUAGGAGAUGAUGAAAUAAAUAAGAAUCUGGUUUUUUAUUUUUAUAACUUGAGGUUAAGAUUACUUUAAGUUUGAUAACGUGUUAAUACGAAGGGAUUGAGUUGGUUAUGGAUUUUAUUUUGGCCUUUCUUGGAUAAUGUGUUGUUUGAGUAUGAUAGAAUAAGUAAAAUGAAUAUUUCUUUUUUUUCUCGCUAAGCUUCGGACUGUUUAUUAAAAACAUUGCUAUUUGAUGAAUAUUAAUAGUAAGGCCUGCCCAAUGUUUAGGAUUAAUGGCCGCAGUAUAUUGACUGUGCUAAGGUAGCAUAAUUAAUUGCCUUUUAAUUGGGGGAUUGUUUGAAUGGUUUUACCAGAGGUUGUUGAUUGGAGUAGAUGAGAAAUAUGUUUGAAAUUAGAGGUCUGGUGCAGAUCCCAGAUAUAUUUUGUUAGACGGAAAGACCCCGAGAGCUUUAUAAUUUUAUAUUUUAUUUGUCUGGGGCAGAAGUAUAUAGUUUAUAUAUUUUAUGAUCCUUGUUAGGGAAAUAGGGUUAAGUUACCUCGGGGAUAACUAGGUAAGAAGUAAUGAGAGAUCAAAUCGAUUUACUUAGUUGCCAUCUCGAUGUUGAUUUAGAGUGGUUGUAUUGGUGCAGAAGUUAAUACAAUAGGUCUGUUCGACCUAAAUUCUCUUCAUGAGUUGAGUUAAGACCGGCGUGAGCCAGGUCGGUUCUUAUCUACAUUGGUUAUAAAUUAGUACGAAAGGAUUGUUUAUAAUUUAUGUU